This 385-nucleotide ribosomal RNA is filed under the name uncultured eukaryote. Its description in RNAcentral is "partial small subunit ribosomal RNA". The stretch from base 153 to 385 matches the Rfam family "Eukaryotic small subunit ribosomal RNA", at positions 738 to 972 of the family's 1831-position model. The record is from RNAcentral.
CUCUCCCCUCUCUUCUCUUCCCUUUUUUUCCUUUCCCCCUCUCUUCUUUUUCUUUUUUUUUUUUCCCUUCUUCCUUUUCUCUUUUAUUUAUAUUGCUGUUACUGGUCUGCCAUGUUUGGGUGGAAUCUGUGUGGCAUUAAGUUGUCGUGCAGGGGAUGCCCAUCGUUUACUGUGAAAAAAUUAGAGUGUUCAAAGCAGGCUUAUGCCUCUGAAUAUAUUAGCAUGGAAUAAUGAUAUAGGACCUUGGUACUAUUUUGUUGGUUUGCGCACUGAGGUAAUGAUUAAGAGGGACAGUUGGGGGUAUUUGUAUUCCAUUGUCAGAGGUGAAAUUCUUGGAUUUUUGGAAGACAAACUACUGCGAAAGCAUUUACCAAGGAUGUUUUCA